Non-coding RNA from Arachis ipaensis, 2396 nucleotides. Lineage: Eukaryota; Viridiplantae; Streptophyta; Magnoliopsida; Fabales; Fabaceae. The record is from RefSeq and is a predicted model, not a curated record.
CGUUCAUUCACAGCACCAAAUCAAAGGAGCUAAACCUAGCAUUCCCCUCUCCGUCGACGAGCUUCUUCUUCUCCUUUCCUCACCCACAGCACCACCGUCGGCCACCCUAACCGCCGCAGCUACCUUUUCCUUCUUCUCCUCUUUUUUAAACACUGAACCAGUAGAACACAGCCCCUGUCUCUCUCCUUCUUUCUCGUUCGCAGAACAAAGCAACCUCAAGCUCCACCACCACUGCCCCUCAAGCUCGCAUAUCUUCUCAGCGCUACAGCCAUCAUCUCCUCCAGUCAAUGCCGCGGCUACCUUCGCGCAAGCCCUAGCUUCAUGGCGACCAAAAUCGGUUCCUCCGCAGCCGUGGUUCCACCUCUCUCUUUCCCCCUGUUCGAACCGUAGAGACCAGGUUUUGGUUUCAAAAUUCUUUUAAUUUCUGUUGAGUUCAAUUAAUUUUGUUUAGUUAGUUUGAUUUUAGUAAUUACUUUAGUUAGAUUUGUUUUCUGAUUAUUGGAUUUUUAGGUUGUUAAAAUAGAAUUAGAUUAGGUUUUGAUUCUGAAUAGCUGAGAAAUAGGAUUAGAUUAGGUUUUCUGUUUUCACUUUCCUUUCUUGCUGGGGUUGGUACCUGGUAGCAGGUAGGUUUCUACUUUCUACUAAUUCAGGUAAAGACCUUGAAGGCUUUGAAAGAGGAAUAUAUUGUUCACUGAUUCAGGUAAAGUCUUCACAGCUAUAUAUACUUUUCCACCUGCACCUUUUCCAUCUGUUUCUUUCAGAGGCAAGUGUUAAUGUAGCCAUAGCACGCAAAUAGAUACAUUAUGAUUACCAUGUGCUUCUUGAUUAUCUAAUUUCAAAGGAUAUUGGAAUAAACUGUGCUAAAUAUCUUUUGAGAAUCUUUGUUGCCACUUGGAAUGUAGCAGGGAAGUCACCUCCAAGUUAUUUGAACUUUGAAGAUUGGCUUCACACCUCUCCACCCGCUGAUAUCUAUGUUCUUGGUUAGAGAUCUACAUGGAGAUCUUAAGUUGGCUAGAUCUGCACUUGAAAUGGCUGGUGUAUUGAGUUCUGAUGAUCAAGACUUAUGGACUGGUGGGGAAACGGUUAAUGGGAAUGAAAUUGCUUCAAUAUCACUUCUAACAUAGCAAAAUAAGUUCUGGAUUCUGGAGUCUUUUCCUUGUCUUCAUGAUAAAGUUCUCCAAGCUGCUGUUGAUGUUAUUGUGAGCCAAUCUCCAAGCCAAAAUGAAAGGUGAUAAGUCUAAAUUGCUUCCUCUUUGGUGACAGGCAAAGAUGGUGUUUCUGCAGCAAAGGUUGCUGCAGUGGCACAUCCGUUAGCUGAAAAAGCUGAAGAGAUUGCUUCCAAUAUCAGUUACCAUGCUCAGUUCAGUCCUCAUUUUUCCCCUCUCAAGUUUGAGCUAGAGCAAGCUUACUAUGCCACUGCUGAGAGUGUUCGAGAUCGUUUCAUAAGGGAAAAAAGUGUUGCCACAAUUUCACAUAUGCGAAAAGUUCACUGGUUUGAGAAAUUUAAUUGGUUCAUUAGCAGUGAGAACUAUUUGAUUAUUAGUGGACGUGAUGCCCAACAAAAUGAGAUUAUAGUGAAGCGAUAUAUGUCAAAAGGAGAUCUGUCUCUUGUUUGUCCAGCUUCAGCAAUCUGGAGAAGCUCGACCUUAAACUCAACAACCUAACUUCACUAGAGGGGUUGAGGUCAUGCGUUAAUUUGAAAUUGUUAUCCGUUUUGGAGAACAAAUUAGAAACCUUGGAAGGAAUUCAAGGGCUUACUAAGCUCACUGUUUUGGAUGAGUGGGAUCGCAGUCGAAUAUUAUCUCCUUACAAGAAAAUUCUUCAGUGGAUUGAGAAUACAAGAAAUGUCAAAGUAAUAAAUUUGUGGCAUAUUGUGGGCUUUGUUCUAUAUGCAAGUCAGGAAGAAAUAGUCUCUCCUCCCUAGUAGGUCUGUCCUUUUCAUGGGUGGCAUUAUCUUCAAGGUCUAGUGACUCUUUGAAGUUUCGCACUGCCAUCAGUGUUUUAAGGCAUGUGCGUGAUAAUCUUUCUUUUCCUUUUUCAUUCUUUGUUGGAUAUUAGAACCAAAUUGUGCCUAAGGGAUAGUCUAUACCGUUUGGCUAAGAGUGCCGAGCAAAGACAUAAUGACUCAAUUGCAAAUGGUUGCACCGGAGAUGAUCAAGCAUGCAAAUCAAUGGUGCCACAUAAUGGUAGCAGGUGUAUGAGAUUCAUGGAUAUGGAAACUGACACAAACCCCAUUGAUCGAUCUAUAGCACACUUACUGUUUCAUAGGCCCCGUGAUCAACCAAUGUCGCAUCCUUAUGAUACUAUACCUUUCAAAUCCAGUGCCACGAUAUGCUUUCAUUAAUUCUUAACAUGUUUAAAUGAAUGAAGUAGAAUAUAAUCGUUUGAUCCUUGCU